UACGUAUGGUGCAAGCGUUAUCCGGAUUUACUGGGUGUAGAGGGAGCGUAGGCGGCGCGUUAAGUCUGAUGUGAAAACCCGAGGCUCAACCACGGGAGUGCAUUGGAAACUGGCGAGCUGGAGUGCCGGAGAGGUAAGCGGAAUUCCUAGUGUAGCGGUGAAAUGCGUAGAUAUUAGGAGGAACACCAGUGGCGAAGGCGGCUUACUGGACGGCAACUGACGCUGAGGCUCGAAAGCGUGGGGAGCAAACAGG
RNAcentral lists this ribosomal RNA (253 nucleotides) under uncultured bacterium. RNAcentral's name for it is "partial 16S ribosomal RNA". It matches the Rfam family "Bacterial small subunit ribosomal RNA", at positions 524 to 776 of the family's 1533-position model. The record is from RNAcentral.